UUUUUUUUUUUUUUUUCGUCUGUCCCAAAUUAUAGUUCACUUUUUAAUUAAAAAAUAUAGUUAUAUUUUAAUUUUUUUAAAUUAUUUUUAUUUAAUAUAAGUUAUUGUUACUAUAAAUCUAUCCCAUUUAAUGAGAAUUAAUUCUUUUUUUAUCAUCAAUUUAAGUUCCCAUAAAGUUAUACUCUAAUUAAUAUGAGGGUAUUUUAGAAAAAUAGCUACCUUAAUUGAUUGAUCCAACAAAGUUAAUUACUUUUUUUUAAACUGUGUGAAAAAUAAAUUAAAAUUAUCAAAAUGAGACGGAGGGAGUAUAUACGAGUUCACAAGUGUGGGCUGCCUCAACUCCAACCGGCAGUUGGGGUUUGCUUUUCCGUUAAAUCGUUCUAGAAAAACAUCGUACUUAGAGUGGCAAUUAACAAGAAAAACAUCUGGGGCAUACUCCACUCUGAGUAAAGGAAAGUCGACUGUUUUGAUUGAGCCAUAAGUUGAUAUGUACUACUCCUCCAUUAAUUAAUAUGCACUCAAGGUCAAGGGCAGGGUUGAAAAUUGGAAUGGGCGUUUAUUUCUUUUAGAUUUUUUGCCUUCCUUUUUUGCCCUUUUGUUGAGAAAAAAGAAGAGGACUUCGGCCUCUUGACUAGAGUAGAGUGAUUAAAAACUACUCCUACAUGAGUAGUACAGUAGCAGAAGUUCAGCUGGAAUACCAUACAAAGUAAUACAGUACAUUGGUUGAAAUUAUUUCAGAUUCUGUCCCUACCUAUUGGGCUAUUACAGUACAUAUAUUGUAUAGUUCACCUGCAAUUGUACAAUCAUACCGCGGGCAGACUAAUUAUUACAAUCUAAGAUUUAUUUAUUGUAUAUACUUCAGAGGAUUACUGUUGCUGCUUCUUGGUGGUAAUCAUAGCUAA
Molecule: long non-coding RNA, 902 nt
Filed under: Coffea arabica (coffee)
Lineage: Eukaryota; Viridiplantae; Streptophyta; Magnoliopsida; Gentianales; Rubiaceae
Description: long non-coding RNA (CARA_LNC002060)
Source: RNAcentral